RNAcentral lists this ribosomal RNA (484 nucleotides) under uncultured bacterium. RNAcentral describes it as "partial 16S ribosomal RNA". It matches the Rfam family "Bacterial small subunit ribosomal RNA", at positions 30 to 507 of the family's 1533-position model. The record is from RNAcentral.
AUUGAACGCUGGCGGCAGGCCUAACACAUGCAAGUCGAGCGGAUGAAGGGAGCUUGCUCCUGGAUUCAGCGGCGGACGGGUGAGUAAUGCCUAGGAAUCUGCCUGGUAGUGGGGGAUAACGUCCGGAAACGGGCGCUAAUACCGCAUACGUCCUGAGGGAGAAAGUGGGGGAUCUUCGGACCUCACGCUAUCAGAUGAGCCUAGGUCGGAUUAGCUAGUUGGUGGGGUAAAGGCCUACCAAGGCGACGAUCCGUAACUGGUCUGAGAGGAUGAUCAGUCACACUGGAACUGAGACACGGUCCAGACUCCUACGGGAGGCAGCAGUGGGGAAUAUUGGACAAUGGGCGAAAGCCUGAUCCAGCCAUGCCGCGUGUGUGAAGAAGGUCUUCGGAUUGUAAAGCGCUUUAAGUUGGGAGGAAGGGCAGUAAGUUAAUACCUUGCCGUUUUGACGUUACCAACAGAAUAAGCACCGGCUAACUUCGUG